CUGUAGCUCUCUUCGACUUUCACAUAAUAGAACUAUAUAUAUAUAUAAAUAUAUAUAUAUAUAUAUAUAUAUAUAUAUAUAUAUAUAUAUAUAGUUCUAUUAUGUGAAAGUCGAAGAGAGCUACAG
Molecule: non-coding RNA, 126 nt
Organism: Pelobates cultripes (western spadefoot toad)
Lineage: Eukaryota; Metazoa; Chordata; Amphibia; Anura; Pelobatidae
Source: the annotation of a GenBank genome assembly